This 775-nucleotide ribosomal RNA is filed under the name uncultured Neocallimastigales. RNAcentral describes it as "partial large subunit ribosomal RNA". It matches the Rfam family "Eukaryotic large subunit ribosomal RNA", at positions 24 to 633 of the family's 3401-position model. The record is from RNAcentral. Lineage: Eukaryota; Fungi; Neocallimastigomycota; Neocallimastigomycetes; Neocallimastigales.
UCGCAUCUGUGCAUGCAGCAUAUCAAUAAGCGGAGGAAAAGAAACUAACAAGGAUUCCCCUAGUAACGGCGAGUGAAGCGGGAAGAGCUCAAAUUUGAAAUCUUAAAGGGUUUCCCUUUACGAAUUGUAGUUUAAAGAAGUGUUUUCUGUUGAGGUUUUGGUAAAAGUUCUUUGGAAUAGGACAUCAUAGAGGGUGAGAAUCCCGUAUUUGACCUUUACUUUCAACUUUGUGAUACACUUUCAAAGAGUCGGAUUGUUUGGGAAUGCAGUCCAAAAUGGGUGGUAAAUUUCAUCUAAAGCUAAAUAUUGGCGAGAGACCGAUAGCGAACAAGUACCGUGAGGGAAAGAUGAAAAGAACUUUGAAAAGAGAGUUAAACAGUACGUGAAAUUGUCAAAAGGGAAGCGUUUGACACCAGUGUUGUUUUUCUGAAAAUCAAUUAAAGAACUGUUUAUGCUAAGUUGUUUAGACUUUAUCAGCUAUCUGUUUAGUUUUGAGCUUUUCUUUAAUGCACUUUUCAGUUAACAAGUCAACAUCAAUUUCUUUUGCUGUAAAAAAGCUUGAGGAAGGUGGCUUGAGAUUCGUCUUAAGUGUUUAUAGCCUCUUGCCUAUGCAGUCGGAGAGAUUGAGGUCUGCAGCGUAGAUCCUUCGGGGCUAAAUGCAUUUGUGCUAAGUUAUAACAUUUUAUAGACAACUUGUUGACUAUGAUUUGUCUUGUAGCUUACUCGCUUAUGUUAUUUUACCUACGCUUAGGAUGUUGAACGCGCACAGAGUCUC